AUUGAACGCUGGCGGCAUGCCUUACACAUGCAAGUCGAACGGCAGCACGGGGCAACCUGGUGGCGAGUGGCGAACGGGUGAGUAAUGUAUCGGAACGUACCAUUGAGUGGGGGAUAACGUAGCGAAAGUUACGCUAAUACCGCAUAUUCUCUCCGGAGGAAAGCAGGGGACCGCAAGGCCUUGCGCUCUUUGAGCGGCCGAUAUCAGAUUAGCUAGUUGGUGAGGUAAAGGCUCACCAAGGCGACGAUCUGUAGCGGGUCUGAGAGGAUGAUCCGCCACACUGGACCUGAGACACGGUCCAGACUCCUACGGGAGGCAGCAGUGGGGAAUUUUGGACAAUGGGGGCAACCCUGAUCCAGCCAUGCCGCGUGAGUGAAGAAGGCCUUCGGGUUGUAAAGCUCUUUCGGCCGGGAAAAAAUCGCAUGGGCUAAUACCCUGUGUGGAUGAUGGUACCGGAAUAAGAAGCACCGGCUAACUACGUGCCAGCAGCCGCCGCAG
This 498-nucleotide ribosomal RNA is filed under the name uncultured bacterium. RNAcentral's name for it is "partial 16S ribosomal RNA". It matches the Rfam family "Bacterial small subunit ribosomal RNA", at positions 30 to 523 of the family's 1533-position model. The record is from RNAcentral.